GGAGCAAUACCGCGUGAGGGAGGAAGGCUCUUGGGUUGUAAACCUCUUUUCUCAGGGAAUAAGAANCUGAAGGUACCUGAGGAAUCAGCAUCGGCUAACUCCGUGCCAGCAGCCGCGGUAAUANCGGAGGAUGCAAGCGUUAUCCGGAAUGAUUGGGCGUAAGGCGUCCGCAGGUGGUUUAUCAAGUCUGCUGUCAAAGAGUUUGGCUCAACCAAAUAAAGGCAGUGGAAACUGACAGACUGGAGUGCGGUAAGGGCAGAGGGAAUUCCUGGUGUAGCGGUGAAAUGCGUAGAGAUCAGGAAGAACACCGGUGGCGAAAGCGCUCUGCUGGGCCGUAACUGACACUGAGGGACGAAAGCUAGGGGAGCGAAUGGGAUUAGAUACCCCAGUAGUC
This 394-nucleotide ribosomal RNA is filed under the name uncultured cyanobacterium. RNAcentral describes it as "bacterial SSU rRNA". It matches the Rfam family "Bacterial small subunit ribosomal RNA", at positions 388 to 795 of the family's 1533-position model. The record is from RNAcentral. Lineage: Bacteria; Bacillati; Cyanobacteriota.